Dermacentor andersoni is the source of this 185-nucleotide small nuclear RNA. RefSeq annotates it as U2 spliceosomal RNA. NCBI's taxonomy places the organism in Eukaryota, Metazoa, Arthropoda, Arachnida, Ixodida, Ixodidae. The record is from RefSeq and is a predicted model, not a curated record.
AUAUAUAUAUAUAUAUAUAUAUAUAUAUAUAUAUAGCAUCUUCUACAACACCUAAAUUAUUUGGAUCUAUUUGGGCCCAUGAUAUUAAACUUAUUUUUGAAAGUUGGCGGAGUGCUUGAAGCCUGCUUGACCUCCACCGGAGGCCCGUCCGGUAUUGCACUAUCUCCGGGAUCGGCCCGUACAUU